AAUUAAUGGGCUUAUUGGCCACUUAAGGCCCUAAGGCCCAUGCAUGAAGGCCCAAAGCCCAUAAAGCCCACGAAGCCCAUCUCUAAAAUCUAUAAAUAGAGGUGUUGGGGUGCUCAUUAUAACAACUCGAAGGAGCGGAAGAUCGAAGAGCAUAAAGAAUUCUCUCUAGUAUCACAAGUUGAAGUGGAAGAUUGAGGAGUUCAAAGAAUUCUAUCAAGUAUUCAAGUAUUCAUCAAGUAUCCUUCAAAUCUUCAAGAUCUUCAAGGCAACAUUCAAGUAUCCUUCGAAUAUUCAAGUAUUUGAGCAUUCAAAUCUUCAAGUAUCCUUCGAAUCUUCAAGUAUUUGAGCGUUCAAAUCUUCAAGUAUCCUUCAAACUCUUCAAGUAUUCCUGCAAAUCUUUGAAGUGAUCUUCAAGUAUCCAAAGAACUCAAGUUCAAAAGCUUCAAGGCGUUCUUACAAAUUCCAAGAACGAUCUUCCUCAAAUCAAAUCAACCAAGUCCCAAAGCUUCAAGGCGUUCUUACAAAUUCUAAGGACGUUCUUCUCAAAUCAAAUCAAGUUCAACGUUCAAUUCAAAAUCAUGACUUAAGUCCCUUGGAUUGGCGUCAUCAAAUCAAGUAUUUCAAUAACCUUCGAGCUUGUUCAAGAAUCAAAUGGAAGAGAAGAAUCAGAGGAUUAACUAGAGAUUGCAACCCGCAUAAAUCUAUCUUCAAAUCUAUCAAAUUAUCUUUGUAACGCGUUUUGUAUUUUAUCAAAUUGAAAUACAAAAAUUUGUGUUUACAAAUUUUGGCACGCCCAGUGGGACAUCUCUACCUCUCAUCUCUACUCUUCACCAAAAAUCUUGAACUAUGUCUACUCAAUCAAAUGCAGCUGCUCCAGCUUCAUCCAAAGUUUCUUCGGCAAGCGUCGGUAUGAUAACGCGAAGCAAAUCAAAAUCGAUGCAAGGAGUAUCCAAGCCGAUCUUUCAUCUUCCAUCUAUCCAUGAAGAAGAUGACAACUCUAAGAGAAGCUUCACAUUCCCCACUGAAAAUUAUCAACUCCAUGCAAGUGUCAUGAUGACAAACACUUCCACCAUGGAGGAACAACUCUUGAACUUAACAAAGAUGGUUGAAUCUCUAACCAAGCACAUCCAAGAGCAAGAUGCCCAGAUUGCAAAGCUCAAAGGAGAAAAGGGAGAAAAAAGAGAUUCAAGCCACGCCAACAACGAUAGGGAAGGCGAAGAAAGCGAAGAAGAUGGAGAGAAUAACGAUGAAGAAAUCUCCAAAGAUAAGCCAAAGAGUGAUGGAAAAAAGCCUUCAGGAAAUGACACUCUCUUCUCGUCUGGUGGCCUCAUUCCCAUCAACCAACUCAAAGAGUUCAUCGAAGCAACAAUGAAGAGUAACUCUGCUAGAAACUCAAAGUCAUCAUUGAUCUACUCCAAGCCAUAUACUCGGCGAAUCGACGACUUGAGGAUGCCUCUUGGUUAUCAGCCCCCAAAUUCCAACAAUUUGAUGGCCAAGGAAAUCCGAGACAACACGUGGCUCAUUUCAUUGAAACAUGCAACAACGCUGGUACUUAUGGAGAUCAUUUGGUCAAACAGUUUGUUCGCUCAUUGAAAGGUAAUGCCUUUGAUUGGUACACCGACUUAGAAUCAAACUCAAUUGAUAGUUGGGAACAACUGGAGCAUGAGUUCCUCAACCGCUUCUAUAGCACUAGAAGAACUGUCAGCAUGGUGGAGCUCACAAGUUCGCGUCAAUUCAAAGAAGAGCCAGUCAUUGACUACAUCAACCGAUGGAGAAACCUUUGUCUCAACUGCAAGGACCGAUUGUCUGAAUCAUCUGCCAUCGAAAUGUGUAUUCAAGGGAUGCAUUGGGGCUUGCAAUACAUCUUGCGAGGAAUCCAGCCAAGAACAUUCGAGGAACUAGCCACUAGAGCUCAUGACAUGGAGUUGAGCAUGAUGGCAAGCGGGAUCGAAGGACCACCCAUCCGAGAACCUCACAAAUUCAAGCCAGAAUUCAAGAAAGGAGGAAAACCAUAUGACGAAACACCAAAGAGAGAAUCCAUGGCGAUUAAGGCAACUUCGGUGAAAUUCUUAAAGAGAGAAGCUGGUCAAGAAGGCAACCAGAACACUUCACGAGACAAUCAGAACUCUUCCCGAGACUUGGGGCAAAGAAGACCUACCUUGAAAGAAAUGCAACAAAAACAAUAUCCAUUCUUAGACUCUGAUGUUUCAGGAAUUUUUGAUGACCUGCUCAAAGAAAAGCUUAUCGAGUUGCCAGAAAUGAAGCGACCAAAUGAAGCAGGGAGGACAGACGAUCCAAGUUACUGCAAAUACCAUCGUCUGGUUGGGCACCCCAUACAUGAUUGCUUCAUCUUCAAAGACAGGGUCAUGCGGUUAGCUCGAGAAGGAAAAUAUCUCUUGAAGAAGAGCUACUGUGUAAAUAUGGUCUCCACCGACUUGAAUGACAUAAUAGAAGGUAUUGGAGCUCUGUAUGAUACAUCCAAUCAAGUAGAUGAAGAACUGAGCUAAAAUGGAUGAAGACAUGAUGCAUUGGCAAUCACAUUCUCCAAUGAAGACUUGCAGCUUGGAUCUGAACCUCAUAACAGGCCAUUGUUCGUGAGUUGUUAUACACAGGAGCAGAAGGUCAAUCGAAUUCUCAUCGAUGGAGGCUCGCGGUCAAUAUUUUGCCACUAAGGACUUUGAAGCAAUUGGGAAUCCAAGAGAGAGCUGUCAAACAGUCGAUUGAUGAUCAAGGUUUCAACAUGAAGGGCAAAGAGCUCUUGGAACUAUAAGGUGCGAUUGCGAUGCAGGACAUGGAUCACGCGUUGCUUCAUGUAUGAUGCAACUCCUACAAAUGCUUCUGGGUCGACCAUGGCUUCAUGAAAAUGGUGUUUUCCUUCUACAUUGCACCAAUGCUUCAAUACUAUCAAAAUGGCCCUAAGAAAAGUGGUUGGUGAUCAAAAGCCGUUUACGGAAGCAGAAUCACAUUUUGCUGAUGCUAAGUUCUAUUUGGAAAGAACCAAAGUCUCAAUGGUGAAAGAUGAUACAUCACAUGACGAGUUGAGAUCUUGCCAGGAGAAAAAGAAGGAAGAAUCUUUUCUAAAGAUGGAAGGAUUCACCAUGCCUUUAACGAAGAUUGAUGCCAAGAAGCCAAUUCUCCAACCAUUUGAAGGGUUUGUCCGACCAAAGCAAAGUGGCGUCACAGAGCAUGAAGAUCUCUCAAACAAAGAACUCUCAAAGCACUUUGGUCGAAGGCAUAUAAACUCCUCGUGAAUGCUGGAUACAAUCCUCAAGAAAGCUCUAUGUCAAGGUCUCAUUUGGAAAAGACUGAUAACGCAGGCCAAAACUCCAAAGCAGGUUUGGGAUAUACAGGCAAGCCCUUCGAUGCCAUCAAAGAGCCCUAACUAUGCUAGCACCACAAACCUGGAAUCUUCAACAUCGGAGAACCCAAAGGGUUUCUUUUUCAAGAUGGGUAGAAGAGAAGCUCAACAGUAUCUGUCUUUAAAAGACUUGGCAAAGGCAAAUCAUGGAAACGAAGCAAGACAAAAGGGAGUGAUGAACUGCACAUAACAGAGAAAUGGAGAAGUUUGAUCCCUCCUCGAAUGAAAAGAUACACCACUUUGUUAUGUCAUGUGGGAAAAAAUGAAAGCUCAAUGAAGACCACCAUCUUCACACGAGAUGCCAUAGAUCAAGAAGAUAGAGAAAGUGUGGCUUCCUCUUACUACACUACUAAUAGUGCUAGUAAUCCAGUUCCUCUUCCUCAUACUACUCAAAGUCAAGUGCGCGUGAAAUUGCAAGUCUCGUUAGAAGUGGCGUUAUCACAACAGCGUGCAGAGAAUAUAGCCUUCAUACGCAGAGAAAUGAAAGCAUAAGAGUGUUUUGAUUGCAAAGAUCUCGCCGAAAAGAUGAAGACUGUCACAGCAAACCAUAUCACCUCCUGCGAGAAAAUGGUCGUUGGAGAAGAGAAUUCGCACUUGAGCCCCAAAGAACUGGAAACUCUGGAUGAAGAGAGACUAGAAGUCCAGCAAAAAUUGGAAUACUAUCAAGCUCUUCCUUCAAGAUCCUUCAACAAAGCAGUGCGAGCGCCCUCUUUUCAAAUUGGAGACAUGGCCCUCGCUGCAAGGAGGCCAAUUGUUAUCACUCUCAACGGAAAGUUCUUGAAGUACUACUAUCCUUGAAGGGUGGUAGAAGUUGAAGCAUGUAUAUAUGUGUAUAGUUAAAUUAAAAAAAAAAAAAAAGAAAAAAAAAAAAGAAAAACAAAAAAAAAAAAAAAUAAGAAAAAGACAAAGAAAAAAGACAAAAGAAAAAAAAAAAAAAACAGAAAAGACCGAAAAGAUGAGUCAGAUGAGAAACCAGAAAUGAAGAAAAACAACAAAAUGGAGCGUAUGAAGACAGCUCCUUGACGCACGAGCCUAAACUGCAUGUUACUCCUGGCCCGCAUGAGUAUAAACUGUGCACGGCACCCAAUCCAAACACUUGUUGAUCCUAUGAACUACGUUUUGACUUGAUCCCUUUCAAAAGGGUACGUAGGCAGCUUAGAUAAUUUCUAUUCAGUCAUAUUGUGUUUGACUCUUUUUCAAUUUAUAUCAUCAAGUUAUGAUUUAAGUUGAUUAUGUGAAGCCGAAUAUGUCUCAAAUUGGGAAGAAAAUCAAGCCAUCAAAAGAAGCACAAGCAUUUGGAGAAGAUGUCAAAAUAUCCAUCACAAACCAAAUAAGAAUCAUCAAGAGAGAAAUGAUAGAAACUGCGGUUUGCACCAAUACUAAGCAAAUGGGUCUUGAUCCUCCAAAGUUCUCUGAGCAGAGAUCAAAAGUGACUCUGAAGUCUUCAAAAUUCCGCAGCAUUUCCUCAUCAACAUGUGCAACUUUAUGUUUGUCAAAAUCUCUUUUUGAAUUCUGGGAUUGCACCUCGGACAAUAUGAAAGGAGCACUAUCUUGCUUGAAGGACAACGUCAUCUCCUGUCUUCCACCUCUCCUAUCAUAGCAAGACACUUACCUUGAUCAAAGCAAUUCGGACGAUGGCUUCAUUCUCCUUGGCUUAAGUCAUCAAGAAGAAAAUACUCAAUCUUCUCGAGCCGUUGUGCAGAAUUCUCCCAACUUCGUGAGAUGCCAAACAUAACAACAACCUCACUCAACCAGAUUCAAACAAUCCCAGGCCUGAGCGCACCCAAGACCUGUCAAAGAAUUGAGUAUCUGGCAUUGAGGUCGGCUAUGCAUCGACAAAUUCACUUCUCUCCAAGCUAAAGUUGAAUGCGCUCGUGGAGUUGAAACACAUGUUCGCCAAACAUAAUAGAACACCAUUGAGUCAUCUAGCCUGCUCGAAUGCGCGCAAAGAGAAAAUGUAACCAGCAAUCUUCAAAGGUUAGACUCACAAUGGCCCAGAUCCGAGCGCACCCGAAAUCUGAUUAAAAGCCAAUUGAGCCACCUAAAGUGCAAAGUAAACAUCACUCAAAUAAGGUUGGCAAAUAGGUGCUGCUAUUUUGAUGAACUCUCUGAGGAUGUCUUUAGUCGGCUGAUGGAAUGUCAAGACGAAAGAAAAGACAAUAGAUCCGAACUUUGCAAAUAUCAAAGCAUCUCGUUUGGGGCAAAAUCUGCCAUGAAGUUGGUUAUAAGACAUGCCAAUUCAAUACAAUUGCAACUAAUUUGACCUCGGUUGACAUCAAUUAACCAUGAGCAUUCCUGCUCAAAGCGCGACAAAGCGCUCAGAUCUUUUGACUCAAAAAAAAGGACUUUUGCUAUUGAGUGCACUAGCCUUGGUCUUGCUUGGAACUUCGCGCCAAUUUCCAGUAUCUACCAAAAAAAAAAAAACCAUCAGUAAAUGGGCUUGGUGUAAUUAAGACGGGCUUUCUCCAAAUAGACAUGAUUUAAUGGUCUUCUCUUAAUUCUUCCUCACGCUGAAAUAGAAGCACGGAAACACAGAAGUCCAGUUGCUCAUUUCUUCUUCGAUCCGCGCUGCCUCUAAUCCGACGAGGCCAUGCCCUGGCUGUUGCUGCCGCCGCCGUGCCGCUGCAUUCACUCUGCCCUCGCAGCAUGUCGCCAUCGAAGCCUGAAAUAAUCCGCGUAUCGCCGCCUGAUGCCGCGCUUCUCUGCACGCUCGACAAGAUCAAAGCAACUCCCUUACCCGAGUUCAACCUCCAAUACCAUCGAGCCUCCAUCUCCGACAUGGCCACCGCAGCACCCUCGUGCCAAGUGUUUCCAGAAAUCUGGCAAGAAGCCGUCUCCAUUCCUCUAAAAUGUCGUUGCCGUUCACUGCUGCCAACUGCAAGAAAAAUAAACAAUAUUCAAAUUUGGGGUUAGAAAAAAAAAAAAAAAAAGAAGGUAGAUUUACAAAACGAAAAAAAAAGGAUAAUGAUAACAACAAGCCACACCCAGUAGAAAAGGUUUAAAGUUAAAGUCUUCCAUUCAAAACACUCCAGCAACACGCACGCCUACUUUAUUCCACUUUAUUCUUCUCUCACCCUAUUCCAUUACCCAAAUUACUGGGCUCUUAAUUUGUAUGAGAGAAUCUAUUGAAGAAAAAGGCAAUUAGAUGGACUCAGCGGCGCUGAGCUUCGGAGGUACGGUGGUGAACGUGAAGCAGCCCACUGCCCCGGAGAAGGACGUGCCCCCGCAGCCGGAGCCCGAGCCCGAGCCGGAAAAGGUGGCAGCGCCUGCGGAGAAGAAGAAAGAAGAUGGGCGACGUGAUUCGGCAAUACUUGAAGACCGCGAGAAAGCCGACAGCGGCAGCAUGCGCGGCUGAGGAGGUGCCGGUGGCGGAGAAAACCCACUGCCCCGAAGAAGGACGUGCCCUCGCAGCCGGAGCCCGAACCCGAGCCGGAAAAGGUGGCGACACCUGCGGAGAAGGAGAAAGAUGAAGCGGCGACGGCGGAUGAGAAGGUUGCCUUCGAUCCCGCUAGCAAAUAGCAUCAGUUUGAUUCAUGGAUCCACCAUCGACAAUCAAAGGUUGUUAAUUUAGAGUCGAAGUCUGAGAAGGCAGGGAAGCGACUUAAGAACAAUGUAAAUGAUGGUAGCACUAUGCAACCUGAGGUGGUGGAGAUAUCCAAAACUAAAACAAGGGAGUCGGCAACUAGUGAGGCAACUAGACUCUCUCGUACUUCACGAAACUCAGAAGCGAAAAAGUAGUUGAAACGGAAGAGGAGUUUAGAUAAAACUUCAAAAGCCAACUUCUUUAACUUCCUAGAUAUGGAAACGAAUGGAAUAAUGGCGUCAGCAGAGGAGGAUAUGCGUUUGGAGAGGAGACUUGCGAAGAAGCUCAAGGUAAAGAAGAGGAGAUUUCCUACUGCUAGUAUCAGAAAUGCAAAUGGCUACUGAAAUCUACGGAAUUGGUGAAUGAGGAAGAGUGGCAACAUUGUUUCUAUUUAUAGGCAAACUUCUCACCAAAAAAAAAUCUUAGCUACCAAAUCCUUGAACUUAGCCGCCGAAGAGUGGAGUUCCAGCUAUUCUUCCAACUAUGAAAGGCCCUUCAAAACAAGCUGUUAAAGCUUAAAAGGGACUACAUUUAAUGCAACGAAGGACGUUUAUUUGCUGUCAAAUGUGCUUAUACGCAGCUGAAAAGCUAAAGUUGUUGCAUGGGGUCAUAAAUGGGCCUAAGAAGAAUAAGUAUAAUUGGGCCUAGUUUAGUCGACUGAUGGAACUUCAAACUUCAAAAAAAAAGGUAUGAAGUAGAGCUGUGUUUUUGGAUAAGCAAAUCGCACGGACUGCUUUUUUUUUAAAAAAAAAAAAAAAAAAAUCAAGUCAAGAACUCCUAAAUACGAGUAUAAACUAUUUAUAAAUUCAAAAAAAUUCAAGCACUCCUAAAUACGAGUAUAAACUAUUUAAAAUUCCAAAAUCAAAUGAAGAACUCCUAAAUACGAGUAUAAACUAUUUACAAAUUCAAACAAAAUGAAGAACUCCUAAAUACGAGUAUAAACUAUUUACAAAUUUCAAGAAAUUCAAGAACUCCUAAAUACGAGUAUAAACUAUUUACAAAUUCAAAGAAAUUCAAGAACUCCUAAAUACGAGUAUAAACUAUUAAAUUCCAAAUAAAAUCAAGAACUCCUAAAUACGAGUAUAAACUAUUUAUAAAUUCAAAGAAAUUGAAGAACUCCUAAAUACGAGUAUAAACUAUUACAAAAUUCAAAAUCAAGAACUCCGCGAUAAGAGUUUAAACUAUCAAGAUAAAUUUCGAGACUCGUCUAUUACCAAAGACGUUUCGUCCAUAAACAAGUCUCGAUGGGGCAAUUUGUAGACAAUUAAAUUGUCGUCGAAUUAAAUCGUGCCACGUGUAAAUUCAUGAAUUAAAUAUUCAAUUAUAUUUUCUAUUUUAUUAAAUGGGAUUUUAUUCCUAAUUAAAUAGAUAUAUAUGAUUAAUAUUUAAUAAAAUGAAUUAAUGGGCUUAUUGGCCACUUAAGGCCCUAAGGCCCAUACAUGGAGGCCCAAAGCCCAUAAAGCCCACGAAGCCCAUCUCUAAAAUCUAUAAAUAGAGGUGUUGGGGUGCUCAUUAUAACAACGUGAAGGAACGGAAGAUCGAAGAGUAUAAAGAAUUCUCUCUAGUAUCGCAAGUUGAAAGAGGCGAAGAAUUGGAGAGUUCAAGUAUUCUUCCAAGUAUUCAAGUAUCUUGAAGAAUUCUAUCUAGCGUUCAAGUCUUCUUCGAAUCUUCAAGUAUUUGAGCAUUCAAAUCUUCAAGUAUCCUUCGAAAUCUUCAAG
RNAcentral lists this long non-coding RNA (8659 nucleotides) under Salvia miltiorrhiza (redroot sage). RNAcentral describes it as "long non-coding RNA (SMIL_LNC008340)". The record is from RNAcentral. Lineage: Eukaryota; Viridiplantae; Streptophyta; Magnoliopsida; Lamiales; Lamiaceae.